GGCCUUCCUGCAUGACCACGGCCGCCACGUCGGCGCUCCAGGCCGGGUCGCAGGCUUGCUCGAUGCGCUCCAGCACCACGCUGUCCCACUGCUUCUUGGCCAGCGUGAACUGGCGGUUGGGCUCCAGCUCGAUGGUGUGGAGAACCCAGCAACUUUUCACUGAGCAAGGAACUGAUCACACUAAAGUGACUAGGGCUAGUCAGGACAAGAGUGCCACCCAAAGGAGGACUCAUUGCCUGGAACACAGCACAGGUGACACAGUGCAGAGACUCCGAGGGAAGGGCAGGGAGAAACCCACAAGGAUGAUGGACUAGAUUGCCAAAUAGAAGAUUGCAGGGGCUGAAAGUUGGAGCAGACAAAAUUUAGAAAGUUUCAUGAAGGUCAAAAGUAGGGUGGACAGAAAUGAAAGGUUGAAGGCCAUCAAAUCUCAGCAAGGGACCAGUCCGCCAAGGAAUUGCGCUUCUAAUUUAUGAAUCUGAAGUGAUUCACUAUUUAGUCAAAUCAAUGCAGAUAUAGAGACUGAGAAAACAGCUAUUGCUGGAGAAGUAAAUUUAGAAAAAUGUUAUUUGGAUUAAAGUAAAGGCGACAUAGAAACGGGCAAGGUGGAUCUGAGUCAUAAUAAUGGAAGAGCUAAUAGAACCUGCUACAAAAGUGGACAAGCUAACAGCGUACCUGGAAGAGUUACAGUAACCGUGAGGCCUGAUUAUAAAUAAGUAGCUGCGUCCUGGAGCUGUCUUACAAUGUCUGGCCAUCAGCUGUUGAAAGUACUUGCUGGGGCUCAAGGAGGAACAAAACUACUACUGCCCCGGCCAACCUGAGGCCUGAGCAUUGGAGACAUUCAGCCCAACCAGAAUCCGGAACUUGGAUCAAAUUCAUUCCUAAGUGUCAUUCUUGUAGCAGGGUCCUCAUUGCAUGCCUUAGACCUGGGAAAGCAGGGGCCCUGUGCCUUAGGGAGCCCUCGCGUUGGUCAGCCUGUUCUAAAUCUCCCGACAGCGCCUGGGCCCAGCUGGGCUCAGCAGUGCUGUCAGGGAGGGGUUCCUGAGCCUGGCUGCGACCUGCUGUGCUCUUCUCGCCUCCGGGGCACUCUGCAUGACCCUCUGCCACAGCAUAGGCAGGGACAGAGUGUCACUCUGGACUCACAGGGCAGACUCCAGUAAGGCAAAUAAAGGGACAGUGGAUGUGAGGGUCUGGGGAUAGGAAAGCUGUAGAAAGAUCCGUUUUGGCCUGACUCCACCGGGAAAAUGGACUUUCAGGUGGAUGGGAGGGAACACUUUUUCUUCCGUGGCAGAUGUUGGUCCCUUCCUGACCUAGUGUUCUGAGGGCUGUCAUGGUCACUGAUAGGCUUUAAAAGAAAACCCAAGAGCUCAUCCCAAGUAGCUGUGAACUUUGGGCCUGGAGGGGAAUUCCUCUCUCUUGAAAAAACUCUAUUAAAGAUUCCACUCUAGCACUUACGGUAACAGUCUUUGGAAAGAAUCCAGUAUCGAUCACGACACUCCAGGGCCAAGUUCCAGGGAGAUAUUCACUGAUGAAGACAGAAGUUCACUCCUUUGAAGUCUGUUAUCUUCUGACAAAAACAUUUCCUGGUUACGCUCUGGGUAACCUAGUGUUUUGUUAAGGACAGUCCAACCACAACUGUGCCCUUGAGAAACCUCGCCCCCACCUUGAGAAACCUUGCUAACAGGUGAUAAUGGUCCAUUUCAGCUAAAUAUCUUCUGGCUCAUGACUGAAUUUCUAUUUUUUCUUUUAGUAAUUACACUUGCAAUUUAAGGAUGCUUAUUUAAAUAUAAAACUGCCUAAAAAGUUUAUUGCUGUACAAUAUAUCUGUCUUCUCUCGAUCAUGAUAAGAUCUCUCACAGGUUUUAAUUACUCAUUAAGUAUCCCUC
Molecule: long non-coding RNA, 1883 nt
Organism: Hippopotamus amphibius kiboko
Lineage: Eukaryota; Metazoa; Chordata; Mammalia; Artiodactyla; Hippopotamidae
Exons: 6
Source: RefSeq, a predicted model, not a curated record